GGAGGAAAGUAGGGGAUCGAAAGACCUUAUGCUUUUGGAGCGGCCGAUGUCUGAUUAGCUAGUUGGUAAGGUAAUGGCUUACCAAGGCAACGAUCAGUAGUUGGUCUGAGAGGACGACCAGCCACACUGGGACUGAGACACGGCCCAGACUCCUACGGGAGGCAGCAGUGGGGAAUUUUGGACAAUGGGCGCAAGCCUGAUCCAGCAAUGCCGCGUGAGUGAAGAAGGCCUUCGGGUUGUAAAGCUCUUUCAGUUGAGAAGAAAAGAUUGUGACUAAUAAUUGCAAUUCAUGACGGUACCAACAGAAGAAGCACCGGCUAACUACGUGCCAGCAGCCGCGGUAAUACGUAGGGUGCGAGCGUUAAUCGGAAUUACUGGGCGUAAAGGGUGCGCAGGCGGUUAUGUAAGUCAGAUGUGAAAUCCCCGGGCUUAACCUGGGAAUGGCGUUUGAAACUACAAGGCUAGA
This 466-nucleotide ribosomal RNA is filed under the name uncultured bacterium. RNAcentral describes it as "bacterial SSU rRNA". It matches the Rfam family "Bacterial small subunit ribosomal RNA", at positions 198 to 645 of the family's 1533-position model. The record is from RNAcentral.